Molecule: ribosomal RNA, 351 nt
Filed under: Triticum aestivum (bread wheat)
Lineage: Eukaryota; Viridiplantae; Streptophyta; Magnoliopsida; Poales; Poaceae
Description: partial small subunit ribosomal RNA
Source: RNAcentral
AUGGCUCCGGCGGGCAGCGGAUGGCGACGAGGUGCGGAAGGGCAGCUCCCAUGGCCUCCUCAUGUUCUUGUAGAAAGAGAGAAAAGGGAGAGAUUUGAGAUGGGAGGGAGCAACGAGAUGAACAGGGAAAUUGGAGAGAAGGAGCGGGGACGCGGGGUCCUACUGGAGUGGCGGCUUGCUGCUAGUUCAGUCGCCGGCGGCGACGGCGCCAUGGAGGGAGGAGCAAGCGGGAGGAGCCUGAGAGAAGAAAAACGAGGGAGGUGGUUAGAUUGGAGCGACGGGGAUCUAGGAGGAUCCCAAGGGAGAGGGUGGCGGCGGCGGGUGGGGAGAUGGAUGGGACAUUGUCCCUAA